This 103-nucleotide microRNA precursor is filed under the name Marmota monax (woodchuck). The record is from RNAcentral. Lineage: Eukaryota; Metazoa; Chordata; Mammalia; Rodentia; Sciuridae.
AGUGGGAUAGCUGGGUCAUGUGGUCGCUCCAUUCCUAGUUUUUUGAGGAAUCGCCAUACUGCUUUCCAAAGUUGUUGUACUAAUUUGUAGUCCCACCAACAAU